Wyeomyia smithii (pitcher-plant mosquito) is the source of this 652-nucleotide long non-coding RNA. RefSeq lists it as uncharacterized. Lineage: Eukaryota; Metazoa; Arthropoda; Insecta; Diptera; Culicidae. The record is from RefSeq and is a predicted model, not a curated record. The transcript has 5 exons.
GUCACAACAAUUUGACAAGACUCGGUAUCGGUGGUGAAUACAAGAUCCAAGUAGGUGCUGUUUGCGUUCGGCAAAUCGCAAAUUUGCAUCAGUCCAGCUGACAGCAAACCAUCAACAAUGGCAGCUUCACUCUGAGAAGUAAUUCGAUCAGUUUGGCAGGUUGAAAUCCCCACAAACGACGACCGUAUCAUUCGGACCAGCGGCUUCAACCAUGGACUCAACAAAGACGACGAACGAAUCGUAACGACGAGUGUUAGAGCUCGGGCAAACUCCGUGCUGGCAAUUCGACGAUGGAUGGCAACAAGUGCACCACCACCAGUUAGUUUGUCACUGUUGACCGAACUUCGAUCGCAGCGGUAAACAGAAAAACAAGCUGGAAACAACAUACCAUCCUGUACGUCAGAGUCCAAGAUUUCUCACAGACGAACCAAUGGUAUCACGACCAGCCUCAUCAUGCGCGAAGGUGUAAAAAUCUCGCCCUGAACGAUAUCAUUGUUACAAAGCAACGGUCGGUCGGUUAGGAGCUGCGAGUGGCGUGGUGACACAACCGUGAAACUGAAAGGGUUCAAUUUGCGGCGGAUGAUCUCGAGCAAUUAUGCUUCCCCGAUCGACACCAACAAACUCUCGAAAAUAAAUUCCCUUCUGCCAGCUC